This 501-nucleotide ribosomal RNA is filed under the name uncultured bacterium. RNAcentral describes it as "partial 16S ribosomal RNA". It matches the Rfam family "Bacterial small subunit ribosomal RNA", at positions 30 to 523 of the family's 1533-position model. The record is from RNAcentral.
AUUGAACGCUGGCGGCAGGCUUAACACAUGCAAGUCGAGCGGGGGAAGGUAGCUUGCUACCGGACCUAGCGGCGGACGGGUGAGUAAUGCUUAGGAAUCUGCCUAUUAGUGGGGGACAACAUCUCGAAAGGGAUGCUAAUACCGCAUACGUCCUACGGGAGAAAGCAGGGGAUCUUCGGACCUUGCGCUAAUAGAUGAGCCUAAGUCGGAUUAGCUAGUUGGUGGGGUAAAGGCCUACCAAGGCGACGAUCUGUAGCGGGUCUGAGAGGAUGAUCCACCAAACUGGGACGGAGACACGGCCCAGACUCCUACGGGAGGCAGCAGUGGGGAAUAUUGGACAAUGGGGGGAACCCUGAUCCAGCCAUGCCGCGUGUGUGAAGAGGGCCUUAUGGUUGUAAAGCACUUUAAGCGAGGAGGAGGCUACUUUAGUUAAUACCUAGAGAUAGUGGACGUUACUCGCAGAAUAAGCACCGGCUAACUCUGUGCCAGCCGCCGCCGUAA